RNAcentral lists this transfer RNA (76 nucleotides) under Chloroflexota bacterium. RNAcentral describes it as "tRNA-His". Lineage: Bacteria; Bacillati; Chloroflexota. The record is from RNAcentral.
GCCCAGACGGUGUGAGGUCGAAGCACACUCCGUAGAUGCUACGGAGGGGCGGGAGUUCAAAUCUCCCUCUGGGAAC